This 448-nucleotide ribosomal RNA is filed under the name uncultured bacterium. RNAcentral's name for it is "bacterial SSU rRNA". It matches the Rfam family "Bacterial small subunit ribosomal RNA", at positions 355 to 796 of the family's 1533-position model. The record is from RNAcentral.
UUUCGAAUCAUUCACAAUGGGCGAAAGCCUGAUGGUGCGACGCCGCGUGAGGGAUGAAGGUCUUCGGAUUGUAAACCUCUGUCACUGGGGAAGAAACGCUUUGAGUUAAUAGUUCAAAGCCUGACUUAACCCGGAGAGGAAGCAGUGGCUAACUCUGUGCCAGCAGCCGCGGUAAUACAGAGACUGCAAGCGUUAUUCGGAUUCACUGGGCGUAAAGGGUGCGCAGGCGGCCGGGUGUGUCAGAUGUGAAAUCCCGAGGCUUAACCUCGGAACUGCGUCUGAAACUACUCGGCUAGAGUAUUGGAGAGGGUAACGGAAUUCACGGUGUAGCAGUGAAAUGCGUAGAUAUCGUGAGGAACACCAGAGGCGAAGGCGGUUACCUGGACAAUUACUGACGCUCAGGCACGAAAGCAUGGGGAGCAAAAGGGAUUAGAUACCCCGGUAGUCC